AGGACGAACGCUGGCGGCGUGCUUAACACAUGCAAGUCGAGCGGAAAGGCCCUUUCGGGGGUACUCGAGCGGCGAACGGGUGAGUAACACGUGGGAAUCUGCCCUUUGCUUCGGAAUAACAGUUAGAAAUGACUGCUAAUACCGGAUGAUGUCGUAAGACCAAAGAUUUAUCGGCAAAGGAUGAGCCCGCGUAGGAUUAGGUAGUUGGUGGGGUAAAGGCCUACCAAGCCGACGAUCCUUAGCUGGUCUGAGAGGAUGAUCAGCCACACUGGGACUGAGACACGGCCCAGACUCCUACGGGAGGCAGCAGUGGGGAAUAUUGGACAAUGGGCGAAAGCCUGAUCCAGCAAUGCCGCGUGAGUGAUGAAGGCCUUCGGGUUGUAAAGCUCUUUUACCAGGGAUGAUAAUGACAGUACCUGGAGAAUAAGCUCCGGCUAACUCCGUG
RNAcentral lists this ribosomal RNA (445 nucleotides) under uncultured bacterium. RNAcentral's name for it is "bacterial SSU rRNA". It matches the Rfam family "Bacterial small subunit ribosomal RNA", at positions 26 to 507 of the family's 1533-position model. The record is from RNAcentral.